UUGCCAUAAGCCGAUCCUGCAAUACCCAUUUUUUGUUUAUCCUUUCCUAGACACUGUCCAUCUCCACUGUCUAAGAAUCCCCUCAUUCUUUGCAUUUCAUCUGAAUUUCCCCAUCAUCUUCAUCUCGUUUCCACUAUCAUUUUUGGACCAAGUAAUUGUUGGUGGAGGGGUGGUAAGGUUUCUCGUCAAUUGUUCAACUGGAAGGUUUUACCUCGCUCUUUUGUUUCUAAGGCUGCUAGGCAAGUUCAAAUUCUAUAACUGGAGGCAAAAAGCUACCAAACAUACGUUAUCUUGAGAGUCUUGAUUUUGCAAAGAGAAGCAAAUCUAUUGAUUGGCGAGCUGCUACUGAGUCAUCAACUUGUGUAGAACAACUUGCUUUCCAGGUAUGAUUCCUGAUGGCCCUCAUGUCUUAUUUGUUAUAGGGAGUAGUAGCUAGAAAAAGUGGAGGGAAAAUAUUGAUACCAGUCUUAUUACUGUGGAUAUUGAUUGAAUUGUAAACAAACGAUAAGUUUUUGACUUGCACCUUUAUGCAGUUUUACAAUCAUUUUUUCAUUUUUGGUACCUAAUGAAAGUAUUAUGAUGAUAUGCUCAAAUUUAUGGUUUUUUUUUUUUUGGUACUUUUCUUUAUGACUAUGUUUAACAGUAGGAAAACUUGAAAGAAAAAUGUUUUAGAGUUGGUCAGAUAUAAGAUAAAACUCUUAAAAAUGGGGUAUCAUUAAUUUAGUAUACCUGUUUGAAAAAUGGCUUAUCUGUUUAACAUAUCCGAAAUAGAAAGAAUAGCUACUAUUUUAAAGAAUUAUUUGUUGUUUAUUUCAACUAAUUUGGACUAUAUAUAUGAAAACUAAUUGAUAAGAGACAAGUCUAAUGCUCAAAAUUCUGACUCAGCAUUCCAACACCACAAUUAUUUCAUCUCAAAGAAGCUUCAGCAUCAAAGCAGCUUUCAUCACACCCUAUGGGGAAGCUGAGUUUUUUUAAAAUUGAUGUUUCUUUGGAACAGAAAAUAUUCUGUGAAUAAGCACAAAUGGUUCCCAAUGCACUUCUCUUACUACGCAUACACACUGCCUAUCCACAUUUGAUCACCUUGCUUAUAGAAAGAAACCCAUUGAAAAUCAGACAUCCCCCACCUCCAUUGCCUUGCAUUUUUAUCGCUAUUAUUGUCAGUUCCCUUUGGCAGUUAGGCCUUCCAAACCUCCUUAAUAAUUUUUUUCUUUUCUGUAUUUAAGGUUUUAGAGAUUGAAUUUUAAAUAAAAAUUAAGAACUCAGUAUGUACAAACAAACCACACAUGACUGUCGGCUAACCCUCUUAAUAAUUCUAUGUUAUCAUAUUUAUCAUAAACUAAAGGAUUACCUAAUAGCUUCUCUGCUUCCAUAAGUUUUAGCAAACUUUGCAUCACUUUAG
Durio zibethinus is the source of this 1399-nucleotide non-coding RNA. NCBI's taxonomy places the organism in Eukaryota, Viridiplantae, Streptophyta, Magnoliopsida, Malvales, Malvaceae. The record is from RefSeq and is a predicted model, not a curated record.